Molecule: ribosomal RNA, 1369 nt
Filed under: uncultured bacterium
Lineage: Bacteria
Description: bacterial SSU rRNA
Rfam family: Bacterial small subunit ribosomal RNA
Source: RNAcentral
GACGAACGCUGGCGGCGUGCCUAAUACAUGCAAGUAGAACGCUGAAGAGAGGAGCUUGCUCUUCUUGGAUGAGUUGCGAACGGGUGAGUAACGCGUAGGUAACCUGCCUUGUAGCGGGGGAUAACUAUUGGAAACGAUAGCUAAUACCGCAUAACAAUAGGUGACACAUGUCAUUUAUUUGAAAGGGGCAAUUGCUCCACCACAAGAUGGACCUGCGUUGUAUUAGCUAGUAGGUGAGGUAACGGCUCACCUAGGCGACGAUACAUAGCCGACCUGAGAGGGUGAUCGGCCACACUGGGACUGAGACACGGCCCAGACUCCUACGGGAGGCAGCAGUAGGGAAUCUUCGGCAAUGGGGGCAACCCUGACCGAGCAACGCCGCGUGAGUGAAGAAGGUUUUCGGAUCGUAAAGCUCUGUUGUAAGUCGAGAACGAGUGUGAGAGUGGAAAGUUCACACUGUGACGGUAGCUUACCAGAAAGGGACGGCUAACUACGUGCCAGCAGCCGCGGUAAUACGUAGGUCCCGAGCGUUGUCCGGAUUUAUUGGGCGUAAAGCGAGCGCAGGCGGUUUGAUAAGUCUGAAGUUAAAGGCUGUGGCUCAACCAUAGUUCGCUUUGGAAACUGUCAAACUUGAGUGCAGAAGGGGAGAGUGGAAUUCCAUGUGUAGCGGUGAAAUGCGUAGAUAUAUGGAGGAACACCGGUGGCGAAAGCGGCUCUCUGGUCUGUAACUGACGCUGAGGCUCGAAAGCGUGGGGAGCGAACAGGAUUAGAUACCCUGGUAGUCCACGCCGUAAACGAUGAGUGCUAGGUGUUGGAUCCUUUCCGGGAUUCAGUGCCGCAGCUAACGCAUUAAGCACUCCGCCUGGGGAGUACGACCGCAAGGUUGAAACUCAAAGGAAUUGACGGGGGCCCGCACAAGCGGUGGAGCAUGUGGUUUAAUUCGAAGCAACGCGAAGAACCUUACCAGGUCUUGACAUCCCGAUGCUAUUUCUAGAGAUAGAAAGUUACUUCGGUACAUCGGUGACAGGUGGUGCAUGGUUGUCGUCAGCUCGUGUCGUGAGAUGUUGGGUUAAGUCCCGCAACGAGCGCAACCCCUAUUGUUAGUUGCCAUCAUUCAGUUGGGCACUCUAGCGAGACUGCCGGUAAUAAACCGGAGGAAGGUGGGGAUGACGUCAAAUCAUCAUGCCCCUUAUGACCUGGGCUACACACGUGCUACAAUGGUUGGUACAACGAGUUGCGAGUCGGUGACGGCAAGCUAAUCUCUUAAAGCCAAUCUCAGUUCGGAUUGUAGGCUGCAACUCGCCUACAUGAAGUCGGAAUCGCUAGUAAUCGCGGAUCAGCACGCCGCGGUGAAUACGUUCCCGGGCCU